RNAcentral lists this microRNA (21 nucleotides) under Aedes aegypti (yellow fever mosquito). Its description in RNAcentral is "aae-miR-989". Its record names the gene aae-miR-989. Lineage: Eukaryota; Metazoa; Arthropoda; Insecta; Diptera; Culicidae. RNAcentral also lists the same sequence under 2 other names. The record is from miRBase by way of RNAcentral.
UGUGAUGUGACGUAGUGGUAC